Molecule: ribosomal RNA, 253 nt
Filed under: uncultured bacterium
Lineage: Bacteria
Description: partial 16S ribosomal RNA
Rfam family: Bacterial small subunit ribosomal RNA
Source: RNAcentral
UACGGAGGGUGGAAGCGUUAAUCGGAAUUACUGGGCGUAAAGCGUGCGCAGGCGGCUUUGCAAGACAGAUGUGAAAUCCCCGGGCUCAACCUGGGAACUGCAUUUGUGACUGCAUCGCUGGAGUGCGGCAGAGGGGGAUGGAAUUCCGCGUGUAGCAGUGAAAUGCGUAGAUAUGCGGAGGAACACCGAUGGCGAAGGCAAUCCCCUGGGCCUGCACUGACGCUCAGGCACGAAAGCGUGGGGAGCAAACAGG